AGAGACUUAGGAUAAAACAAACCAAGAGCCUUCAAAGCCCUAAAUAGGGGUUACACCCCUAGUCUCUG
Molecule: transfer RNA, 68 nt
Filed under: Sceloporus utiformis
Lineage: Eukaryota; Metazoa; Chordata; Lepidosauria; Squamata; Phrynosomatidae
Description: tRNA-Trp
Rfam family: tRNA
About the family: Transfer RNA (tRNA) molecules are approximately 80 nucleotides in length. Their secondary structure includes four short double-helical elements and three loops (D, anti-codon, and T loops). Further hydrogen bonds mediate the characteristic L-shaped molecular structure. tRNAs have two regions of fundamental functional importance: the anti-codon, which is responsible for specific mRNA codon recognition, and the 3' end, to which the tRNAs corresponding amino acid is attached (by aminoacyl-tRNA synthetases). tRNAs cope with the degeneracy of the genetic code in two manners: having more than one tRNA (with a specific anti-codon) for a particular amino acid; and 'wobble' base-pairing, i.e. permitting non-standard base-pairing at the 3rd anti-codon position.
Source: RNAcentral